GGGUAGAGGAUGCAGAACUGAAGAGUAGAAUGUGUGAGGAUGACAACGAUGACCACAUUCGAAAGGCUGUUUUGCCGAAGUGGUGUGACAGAGUCGGCUGUCCACUGCUGGGGCUGUUCUAAAGAAGAGCAGCACUGUCAUCAUAAGGUUGGCUUAUGAUGGGGAGCUACAGA
This 173-nucleotide non-coding RNA is filed under the name Bacillus testis. RNAcentral describes it as "Lysine riboswitch". It matches the Rfam family "Lysine riboswitch aptamer". From Rfam's summary of the family: Riboswitches are metabolite binding domains within certain messenger RNAs that serve as precision sensors for their corresponding targets. Allosteric rearrangement of mRNA structure is mediated by ligand binding, and this results in modulation of gene expression. Lineage: Bacteria; Bacillati; Bacillota; Bacilli; Caryophanales; Bacillaceae. The record is from RNAcentral.